This 406-nucleotide ribosomal RNA is filed under the name uncultured bacterium. RNAcentral describes it as "partial 16S ribosomal RNA". It matches the Rfam family "Bacterial small subunit ribosomal RNA", at positions 30 to 526 of the family's 1533-position model. The record is from RNAcentral.
AUUGAACGCUGGCGGCAGGCCUAACACAUGCAAGUCGAGCGAGCGGCGGACGGGUGAGUAAUGUAUGGGGAUCUGCCUGAUGGAGGGGGAUAACUACGGGAAACGGUAGCUAAUACCGCAUAACAUCAGAUGAACCCAGAUGGGAUUAGCUAGUAGGUGAGGUAAAGGCUUACCUAGGCGACGAUCCCUAGCUGGUCUGAGAGGAUGAUCACCCACCCUGGGACUGAGACACGGCCCAGACUCCUACGGGAGGCAGCAGUGGGGAAUAUUGCCCAAUGGGCGCAAGCCUGAUGCAGCCAUGCCGCGUGUAUGAAGAAGGCCUUCGGGUUGUAAAGUACUUUCAGUCGGGAGGCGUUACCGACAGAAGAAGCACCGGCUAACUCCGUGCCAGCAGCCGCGGUAAUAC